GACGAACGCUGGCGGCGUGCUUAACACAUGCAAGUCGAACGGAAAGGCCCUGCUUUUGUGGGGUGCUCGAGUGGCGAACGGGUGAGUAACACGUGAGUAACCUGCCCUUGACUUUGGGAUAACUUCAGGAAACUGGGGCUAAUACCGGAUAGGAGCUCCUGCUGCAUGGUGGGGGUUGGAAAGUUUCGGCGGUUGGGGAUGGACUCGCGGCUUAUCAGCUUGUUGGUGGGGUAGUGGCUUACCAAGGCUUUGACGGGUAGCCGGCCUGAGAGGGUGACCGGCCACAUUGGGACUGAGAUACGGCCCAGACUCCUACGGGAGGCAGCAGUGGGGAAUAUUGCACAAUGGGCGGAAGCCUGAUGCAGCAACGCCGCGUGCGGGAUGACGGCCUUCGGGUUGUAAACCGCUUUCGCCUGUGACGAAGCGUGAGUGACGGUAAUGGGUAAAGAAGCACCGGCUAACUACGUGCCAGCAGCCGCGGUGAUACGUAGGGUGCGAGCGUUGUCCGGAUUUAUUGGGCGUAAAGGGCUCGUAGGUGGUUGAUCGCGUCGGAAGUGUAAUCUUGGGGCUUAACCCUGAGCGUGCUUUCGAUACGGGUUGACUUGAGGAAGGUAGGGGAGAAUGGAAUUCCUGGUGGAGCGGUGGAAUGCGCAGAUAUCAGGAGGAACACCAGUGGCGAAGGCGGUUCUCUGGGCCUUUCCUGACGCUGAGGAGCGAAAGCGUGGGGAGCGAACAGGCUUAGAUACCCUGGUAGUCCACGCUGUAAACGGUGGGUACUAGGUGUGGGGUCCAUUCCACGGGUUCCGUGCCGUAGCUAACGCUUUAAGUACCCCGCCUGGGGAGUACGGCCGCAAGGCUAAAACUCAAAGGAAUUGACGGGGCCCCGCACAAGCGGCGGAGCAUGCGGAUUAAUUCGAUGCAACGCGUAGAGCCUUACCUGGGUUUGACAUGGAUCGGGAGUGCUCAGAGAUGGGUGUGCCUCUUUUGGGGUCGGUUCACAGGUGGUGCAUGGCUGUCGUCAGCUCGUGUCGUGAGAUGUUGGGUUAAGUCCCGCAACGAGCGCAACCCUUGUUCACUGUUGCCAGCACGUUAUGGUGGGGACUCAGUGGAGACCGCCGGGGUCAACUCGGAGGAAGGUGGGGAUGACGUCAAGUCAUCAUGCCCCUUAUGUCCAGGGCUUCACGCAUGCUACAAUGGCUGGUACAGAGAGUGGCGAGCCUGUGAGGGUGAGCGAAUCUCGGAAAGCCGGUCUCAGUUCGGAUUGGGGUCUGCAACUCGACCUCAUGAAGUCGGAGUCGCUAGUAAUCGCAGAUCAGCAACGCUGCGGUGAGUACGUUCCCGGGGCU
This 1346-nucleotide ribosomal RNA is filed under the name uncultured bacterium. RNAcentral describes it as "partial 16S ribosomal RNA". It matches the Rfam family "Bacterial small subunit ribosomal RNA", at positions 28 to 1381 of the family's 1533-position model. The record is from RNAcentral.